RNAcentral lists this transfer RNA (74 nucleotides) under candidate division WWE3 bacterium CG_4_10_14_0_2_um_filter_47_8. RNAcentral describes it as "tRNA-Trp". It matches the Rfam family "tRNA". Rfam says of the family: Transfer RNA (tRNA) molecules are approximately 80 nucleotides in length. Their secondary structure includes four short double-helical elements and three loops (D, anti-codon, and T loops). Further hydrogen bonds mediate the characteristic L-shaped molecular structure. tRNAs have two regions of fundamental functional importance: the anti-codon, which is responsible for specific mRNA codon recognition, and the 3' end, to which the tRNAs corresponding amino acid is attached (by aminoacyl-tRNA synthetases). tRNAs cope with the degeneracy of the genetic code in two manners: having more than one tRNA (with a specific anti-codon) for a particular amino acid; and 'wobble' base-pairing, i.e. permitting non-standard base-pairing at the 3rd anti-codon position. The record is from RNAcentral. RNAcentral also lists the same sequence under 3 other names. Lineage: Bacteria; candidate division WWE3.
GCCGGCGUAGCUUAGCUAGGUGAGAGCAUCCGUCUCCAAAACGGAAAGCGUGGGUUCGAAUCCCGCCGCCGGUG